Molecule: ribosomal RNA, 1337 nt
Filed under: Mycobacterium sp. DWMJ-1018A1
Lineage: Bacteria; Bacillati; Actinomycetota; Actinomycetes; Mycobacteriales; Mycobacteriaceae
Description: bacterial SSU rRNA
Rfam family: Bacterial small subunit ribosomal RNA
Source: RNAcentral
UUCGGAGGUACUCGAGUGGCGAACGGGUGAGUAACACGUGGGUAAUCUGCCCUGCACUUCGGGAUAAGCCUGGGAAACUGGGUCUAAUACCGGAUAGGACCUUUUGGCGCAUGCCUUUUGGUGGAAAGCUUUUGCGGUGUGGGAUGGGCCCGCGGCCUAUCAGCUUGUUGGUGGGGUGACGGCCUACCAAGGCGACGACGGGUAGCCGGCCUGAGAGGGUGUCCGGCCACACUGGGACUGAGAUACGGCCCAGACUCCUACGGGAGGCAGCAGUGGGGAAUAUUGCACAAUGGGCGCAAGCCUGAUGCAGCGACGCCGCGUGGGGGAUGACGGCCUUCGGGUUGUAAACCUCUUUCAGCAGGGACGAAGCGCAAGUGACGGUACCUGCAGAAGAAGCACCGGCCAACUACGUGCCAGCAGCCGCGGUAAUACGUAGGGUGCGAGCGUUGUCCGGAAUUACUGGGCGUAAAGAGCUCGUAGGUGGUUUGUCGCGUUGUUCGUGAAAACCGGGGGCUUAACCCUCGGCGUGCGGGCGAUACGGGCAGACUGGAGUACUGCAGGGGAGACUGGAAUUCCUGGUGUAGCGGUGGAAUGCGCAGAUAUCAGGAGGAACACCGGUGGCGAAGGCGGGUCUCUGGGCAGUAACUGACGCUGAGGAGCGAAAGCGUGGGGAGCGAACAGGAUUAGAUACCCUGGUAGUCCACGCCGUAAACGGUGGGUACUAGGUGUGGGUUUCCUUCCUUGGAAUCCGUGCCGUAGCUAACGCAUUAAGUACCCCGCCUGGGGAGUACGGCCGCAAGGCUAAAACUCAAAGGAAUUGACGGGGGCCCGCACAAGCGGCGGAGCAUGUGGAUUAAUUCGAUGCAACGCGAAGAACCUUACCUGGGUUUGACAUGCACAGGACGCCGGCAGAGAUGUCGGUUCCCUUGUGGCCUGUGUGCAGGUGGUGCAUGGCUGUCGUCAGCUCGUGUCGUGAGAUGUUGGGUUAAGUCCCGCAACGAGCGCAACCCUUGUCUCAUGUUGCCAGCGGGUAAUGCCGGGGACUCGUGAGAGACUGCCGGGGUCAACUCGGAGGAAGGUGGGGAUGACGUCAAGUCAUCAUGCCCCUUAUGUCCAGGGCUUCACACAUGCUACAAUGGCCGGUACAAAGGGCUGCGAUGCCGUAAGGUUUAAGCGAAUCCUUUUAAAGCCGGUCUCAGUUCGGAUCGGGGUCUGCAACUCGACCCCGUGAAGUCGGAGUCGCUAGUAAUCGCAGAUCAGCAACGCUGCGGUGAAUACGUUCCCGGGCCUUGUACACACCGCCCGUCACGUCAUGAAAGUCGGUAACACCCGAAGCC